RNAcentral lists this ribosomal RNA (221 nucleotides) under uncultured bacterium. RNAcentral's name for it is "partial 16S ribosomal RNA". It matches the Rfam family "Bacterial small subunit ribosomal RNA", at positions 524 to 744 of the family's 1533-position model. The record is from RNAcentral.
GACAGAGGGUGCAAACGUUGCUCGGAAUCACUGGGCGUAAAGGGCGUGUAGGCGGGACGGUAAGUCGGGCGUGAAAUCCCUAGGCUCAACCUAGGAACUGCACUCGAAACUACCAUUCUUGAGUGUCGGAGAGGAAAGCGGAAUUCCUGGUGUAGAGGUGAAAUUCGUAGAUAUUAGGAAGAACACCAGUGGCGAAGGCGCUUUCUGGCGUCGUAACUGAC